UGUUAAAAAAUUCAUCCAUUUUUUUUUUGUUAAAAUUGGUGAAGCUGACAGAAUAACUAAACAGUUACACGUGGUGUGUCAUGUGUGCCUUAUUUUGACAUACAGGGACCAAUUUUUAAUAGUAGAUUGGAUGAAAUUUUAAACA
Molecule: microRNA precursor, 145 nt
Filed under: Gossypium arboreum
Lineage: Eukaryota; Viridiplantae; Streptophyta; Magnoliopsida; Malvales; Malvaceae
Description: MIR7502 microRNA precursor family
Rfam family: MIR7502 microRNA precursor family
Source: Rfam by way of RNAcentral